CGCAAAACGUUAGUAUCAUGGAGAUAGGAAAUAGAAUGAUGGUUACCAGAAGCAGAGAAGGGUGUGGCAGAGAGGAUGAGAGAAGUUGAUUAAUGGAUACAAACAUAUGGUUAGAUAUACGGAAUAACUUCUAGUGUUCAAUAGGACAGCAGGGUGAUUAUAGUUAACAAUAUUUUAUUGUGUAUUUUAAAAUAGCUAGAAGAGAUGAGAUUUGGAAUGCUUCCAGC
Molecule: long non-coding RNA, 227 nt
Organism: Sapajus apella (tufted capuchin)
Lineage: Eukaryota; Metazoa; Chordata; Mammalia; Primates; Cebidae
Exons: 3
Source: RefSeq, a predicted model, not a curated record